GGCCUUGUAGCUCAGUGGUUAGAGCACUGGUCUAGUAAACCAGGUGUCGUGAGUUCAAUUUUCACUGAGGCCU
Hippocampus zosterae (dwarf seahorse) is the source of this 73-nucleotide non-coding RNA. NCBI's taxonomy places the organism in Eukaryota, Metazoa, Chordata, Actinopteri, Syngnathiformes, Syngnathidae. The record is from the annotation of a RefSeq genome assembly.